This 301-nucleotide ribosomal RNA is filed under the name uncultured bacterium. RNAcentral describes it as "partial 16S ribosomal RNA". It matches the Rfam family "Bacterial small subunit ribosomal RNA", at positions 509 to 807 of the family's 1533-position model. The record is from RNAcentral.
CAGUCGCCGCGGUAAUACGAAGGGUGCAAGCGUUAAUCGGAAUUACUGGGCGUAAAGCGUGCGUAGGCGGUUUGUUAAGUCUGCUGUGAAAUCCCCGGGCUCAACCUGGGAAUGGCAGUGGAUACUGGCAAGCUAGAGUGUGUCAGAGGAUGGUGGAAUUCCCGGUGUAGUGGUGAAAUGCGUAGAGAUCGGAAGGAACAUCUGUGGCGAAGGCGACUAUCUGGGCCAACACUGACGCUGAGGCACGAAAGCGUGGGGAGCAAACAGGAUUAGAUACCCCUGUAGUCCCUGUCUCUUAUAC